AUACGGAGGAUGCGAGCGUUAUCCGGAUUUAUUGGGUUUAAAGGGUGCGUAGGCGGACGAUUAAGUCAGCUGUGAAAUGCCCGCGCUUAACGCGGGAAGUGCAGUUGAUACUGGUUGUCUGGAGUGCCGUUGCCGUGGGGGGAAUGUGUAGUGUAGCGGUGAAAUGCAUAGAUAUUACACAGAACGCCGAUUGUGAAGGCACCUCCCGAAGAGGUAACUGACGGUGAGGCCCGAAAGCGUGGGGACUGAACAGGAUUAGACCCCCUGGUAGGCGGCGCAGUAACCGAUGAAGACUAACGGUGGGCGAGAGUCCGCCGGUGGCCAAGCGAAAUCGAAAAGUCAGCCACCUGGGUAGUACGAUCGCAAGGUGGAAACUCAAAGGAAUUGACGGGG
RNAcentral lists this ribosomal RNA (393 nucleotides) under uncultured bacterium. RNAcentral describes it as "partial 16S ribosomal RNA". It matches the Rfam family "Bacterial small subunit ribosomal RNA", at positions 523 to 918 of the family's 1533-position model. The record is from RNAcentral.